UACCCAGACUCCUACGGGAGGCAGCAGUGAGGAAUAUUGGUCAAUGGGCGAGAGCCUGAACCAGCCAAGUCGCGUGAAGGAUGACGGCCCUACGGGUUGUAAACUUCUUUUGUCAGGGAGCAAUUGAGUCCACGUGUGGGCUUAGCGAGAGUACCUGAAGAAAAAGCAUCGGCUAACUCCGUGCCAGCAGCCACGGUAAUACGGAGGAUGCGAGCGUUAUCCGGAUUUAUUGGGUUUAAAGGGUGCGUAGGCGGAAUAUCAAGUCAGCGGUAAAAAUUCGGGGCUCAACCCCGUCGUGCCGUUGAAACUGGUGUUCUUGAGUGGGCGAGAAGUAUGCGGAAUGCGUGGUGUAGCGGUGAAAUGCAUAGAUAUCACGCAGAACUCCGAUUGCGAAGGCAGCAUACCGGCGCCCAACUGACGCUGAAGCACGAAAGCGUGGGUAUCGAACAGGAUUAGAUACCCUAGUA
Molecule: ribosomal RNA, 467 nt
Filed under: uncultured bacterium
Lineage: Bacteria
Description: bacterial SSU rRNA
Rfam family: Bacterial small subunit ribosomal RNA
Source: RNAcentral